RNAcentral lists this ribosomal RNA (131 nucleotides) under uncultured bacterium. RNAcentral's name for it is "partial 16S ribosomal RNA". It matches the Rfam family "Bacterial small subunit ribosomal RNA", at positions 335 to 465 of the family's 1533-position model. The record is from RNAcentral.
CUUCCUACGGGAGGCAGCAGUAGGGAAUAUUGCACAAUGGAGGAAACUCUGAUGCAGCGACGCCGCGUGAGUGACGAAGGCCUUCGGGUUGUAAAGCUCUGUUCUCAGGGAAAAAGCAAGUGAUGUCCGGG